UACGAAGGGGGCUAGCGUUGCUCGGAAUCACUGGGCGUAAAGGGUGCGUAGGCGGGUCUUUAAGUCAGGGGUGAAAUCCUGGAGCUCAACUCCAGAACUGCCUUUGAUACUGAAGAUCUCGAGUUCGGGAGAGGUGAGUGGAAUUCCUAGUGUAGAGGUGAAAUUCGUAGAUAUUAGGAAGAACACCGGUGGCGAAGGCGGCCCACUGGCUCGAUACUGACGCUGAGGUGCGAAAGCGUGGGGAGCAAACAGG
Molecule: ribosomal RNA, 253 nt
Filed under: uncultured bacterium
Lineage: Bacteria
Description: partial 16S ribosomal RNA
Rfam family: Bacterial small subunit ribosomal RNA
Source: RNAcentral